CAGUAGCCGCGGUAAUACGUAGGUGGCAAGCGUUGUCCGGAAUUAUUGGGCGUAAAGGGCUCGCAGGCGGUUUCUUAAGUCUGAUGUGAAAGCCCCCGGCUCAACCGGGGAGGGUCAUUGGAAACUGGGAAACUUGAGUGCAGAAGAGGAGAGUGGAAUUCCACGUGUAGCGGUGAAAUGCGUAGAGAUGUGGAGGAACACCAGUGGCGAAGGCGACUCUCUGGUCUGUAACUGACGCUGAGGAGCGAAGGCGUGGGGAGCGAACAGGAUUAGAUACCCGUGUAGUCCCUGUCUCUUAUAC
RNAcentral lists this ribosomal RNA (301 nucleotides) under uncultured bacterium. RNAcentral describes it as "partial 16S ribosomal RNA". It matches the Rfam family "Bacterial small subunit ribosomal RNA", at positions 509 to 807 of the family's 1533-position model. The record is from RNAcentral.